This 253-nucleotide ribosomal RNA is filed under the name uncultured bacterium. RNAcentral's name for it is "partial 16S ribosomal RNA". It matches the Rfam family "Bacterial small subunit ribosomal RNA", at positions 524 to 776 of the family's 1533-position model. The record is from RNAcentral.
UACACAGGUCCCAAGCGUUGUUCGGAUUCACUGGGCGUAAAGGGUGCGUAGGCGGUCAUUUAAGUCUGACGUGAAAUCUCCGGGCCUAACCCGGAAACUGCGUUGGAAACUAUCUGACUAGAGGAAUGGAGGGGAGACUGGAAUACUUGGUGUAGCAGUGAAAUGCGUAGAUAUCAAGUGGAACACCAGUGGCGAAGGCGAGUCUCUGGACAUUUCCUGACGCUGAGGCACGAAAGCCAGGGGAGCAAACGGG